RNAcentral lists this long non-coding RNA (351 nucleotides) under Gossypium barbadense (sea-island cotton). RNAcentral describes it as "long non-coding RNA (GBAR_LNC015619)". Lineage: Eukaryota; Viridiplantae; Streptophyta; Magnoliopsida; Malvales; Malvaceae. The record is from RNAcentral.
AUAAUACUAAUGGUAUAAUAUAAUAAAAACAAUAACAUUAAAAAAAAUUAAAUAGUAAAACAGUAAAAAAAUGGACUAGAUUGAAUUAAAGAUGAAAAAAUAGAGUGGAUUUGAAAAUAGACAAAAAAAAACCGAUUUGAAUGCGCUAGCAAUGACGGAGGACCAAAAGGGAAAUUAUUCCCGCCUUCCUAAACGCUGCGCAACAUGGGACCGAAUUGAAACAAAAUUAAAAUGGGUGGCUAAAUUUAAAAAAAAACAAUAAUUGGGUUUGAUUGAAACGCGACGCAAGAAAAAGGGACUGAAAACGCAAAUCUCCCAUCUAAAGGAAAAGCGCGGACCCUGGGACCGGGU